GGGCCCGCACAAGCGGUGGAGCAUGUGGUUUAAUUCGAUGCAACGCGAAGAACCUUACCUGGUCUUGACAUAGUGAGAAUCUUUCAGAGAUGAGAGAGUGCCUUCGGGAAUUCACAUACAGGUGCUGCAUGGCUGUCGUCAGCUCGUGUCGUGAGAUGUUGGGUUAAGUCCCGCAACGAGCGCAACCCUUUUCCUUAUUUGCCAGCGGGUUAAGCCGGGAACUUUAAGGAUACUGCCAGUGACAAACUGGAGGAAGGCGGGGACGACGUCAAGUCAUCAUGGCCCUUACGACCAGGGCUACACACGUGCUACAAUGGUAGGUACAGAGGGUUGCUACACAGCGAUGUGAUGCUAA
This 355-nucleotide ribosomal RNA is filed under the name uncultured bacterium. Its description in RNAcentral is "bacterial SSU rRNA". It matches the Rfam family "Bacterial small subunit ribosomal RNA", at positions 917 to 1271 of the family's 1533-position model. The record is from RNAcentral.